Molecule: ribosomal RNA, 442 nt
Filed under: uncultured bacterium
Lineage: Bacteria
Description: bacterial SSU rRNA
Rfam family: Bacterial small subunit ribosomal RNA
Source: RNAcentral
AACGCGAAGAACCUUACCUGGAUUUGACAUCCUCGGACAAACGCAGAGAUGCGUCUUUCGUAGCAAUACGACCGGGAGACAGGUGCUGCAUGGCUGUCGUCAGCUCGUGUGGUGACAUGUUGGGUUAAGUCCCGCAACGAGCGCAACCCUUGUCCUUAGUUGCCAGCAUUCAGUUGGGCUCUCUAAGGAGACUGCCGUGGUUAACACGGAGGAAGGUGGGGAUGACGUCAAGUCCUCAUGGCCUUUAUAUCCAGGGCGACACACGUGAUACAAUGGACGGUACAGAGGGACGCGAACCCGCGAGGGGGAGCUAAUCUCAAAAAGCCGUUCUCAGUUCGGAUUGGAGUCUGCAACUCGACUCCAUGAAGUUGGAAUCGCUAGUAAUCGCGGAUCAGCACGCCGCGGUGAAUACGUUCCCGGGCCUUGUACACACCGAGACGAC